Ailuropoda melanoleuca (giant panda) is the source of this 189-nucleotide long non-coding RNA. RefSeq lists it as uncharacterized. The record is from RefSeq and is a predicted model, not a curated record. Lineage: Eukaryota; Metazoa; Chordata; Mammalia; Carnivora; Ursidae. The transcript is spliced from 3 exons.
CUGAAAUGAAAAGACACUGGCAGGUUACUUGAAGCCAUACAUAGAAAAAAAGAUCUCAGUUAAGGAACAUCGGCAUCAUCCGGGACUCAGGCGAGGCAAAUUUUCAUGUUCCACCAUGGACCUACUGAAUCAAAAAAUGGUCAUCAACACAGGACAACCAAGAGUGCAGAGAGAGAGACAGCCACCGAG